GAGUUUGAUCGUGGCUCAGAACGAACGCUGGCGGCAGGCCUAAUACAUGCAAGUCGAACGCACCGCAAGGUGAGUGGCAGACGGGUGAGUAACGCGUGGGAAUAUUCCUUGCAGUACGGAAUAACUCCGGGAAACCGGUGACUAAUACCGUAUACGCCCUUUGGGGAAAGAUUUAUCGCUGCAAGAUUAGCCCGCGUCGGAUUAGCUAGUUGGUGAGGUAAUGGCUCACCAAGGCGACGAUCCGUAGCUGGUCUGAGAGGAUGAUCAGCCACACUGGGACUGAGACACGGCCCAGACUCCUACGGGAGGCAGCAGUAGGGAAUAUUGGACAAUGGGCGAAAGCCUGAUCCAGCCAUGCCGCGUGAGUGAAGAAGGCCUUAGGGUUGUAAAGCUCUUUUGGCGGGGAAGAUAAUGACGGUACCCGCAGAAUAAG
This 433-nucleotide ribosomal RNA is filed under the name uncultured Alphaproteobacteria bacterium. RNAcentral describes it as "bacterial SSU rRNA". It matches the Rfam family "Bacterial small subunit ribosomal RNA", at positions 9 to 490 of the family's 1533-position model. The record is from RNAcentral. Lineage: Bacteria; Pseudomonadati; Pseudomonadota; Alphaproteobacteria.